RNAcentral lists this transfer RNA (76 nucleotides) under bacterium. RNAcentral's name for it is "tRNA-Lys". It matches the Rfam family "tRNA". Rfam says of the family: Transfer RNA (tRNA) molecules are approximately 80 nucleotides in length. Their secondary structure includes four short double-helical elements and three loops (D, anti-codon, and T loops). RNAcentral also lists the same sequence under 1 other name. The record is from RNAcentral.
GGGGCGUUAGCUCAGUCGGUAGAGCAUCUGACUUUUAAUCAGGUGGUCGCAGGUUCGAAUCCUGCACGCCCCACCA